GAUGAACGCUGGCGGCGUGCCUAAUACAUGCAAGUCGUGCGAACAGACGAGGAGCUUGCUCCUCUGACGUUAGCGGCGGACGGGUGAGUAACACGUGGAUAACCUACCUAUAAGACUGGGAUAACUUCGGGAAACCGGAGCUAAUACCGUAUAAUAUAUUUAACCGCAUGGUUCAAUAGUGAAAGACGGUUUUGCUGUUAAUUAUAGAUGGUUCCGCGCCGCAUUAGCUAGUUGGUAAGGUAACGGCUUACAAAGGCGACGAUGCGUAGCCGACCUCAGAGGGUGAUCGGCCACACUGGAACUUAGACACGGUCCAGACUCCUACGGGAGGCAGCAGUAGGGAAUCUUCCGCAAUGGGCGAAAGCCUGACGGAGCAACGCCGCGUGAGUGAUGAAGGUCUUCGGAUCGUAAAACUCUGUCAUUAGGGAAGAACAAAUGUGUAAGUAACUAUGCACGUCUUGACGGUACCUAAUCAGAAAGCCACGGCUAACUACGUG
This 497-nucleotide ribosomal RNA is filed under the name uncultured bacterium. RNAcentral's name for it is "partial 16S ribosomal RNA". It matches the Rfam family "Bacterial small subunit ribosomal RNA", at positions 28 to 507 of the family's 1533-position model. The record is from RNAcentral.